AGACUCUCGGCAACGGAUAUCUCGGCUCUUGCAUCGAUGAAGAACGUAGCGAAAUGCGAUACUUGGUGUGAAUUGCAGAAUCCCGUGAACCAUCGAGUCUUUGAACGCAAGUUGCGCCCGAAGCCAUUAGGCCGAGGGCACGCCUGCCUGGGUGUCGCCCA
RNAcentral lists this ribosomal RNA (161 nucleotides) under Crotalaria saharae. Its description in RNAcentral is "5.8S ribosomal RNA". It matches the Rfam family "5.8S ribosomal RNA". From Rfam's summary of the family: 5.8S ribosomal RNA (5.8S rRNA) is a component of the large subunit of the eukaryotic ribosome. It is transcribed by RNA polymerase I as part of the 45S precursor that also contains 18S and 28S rRNA. Lineage: Eukaryota; Viridiplantae; Streptophyta; Magnoliopsida; Fabales; Fabaceae. RNAcentral also lists the same sequence under 3 other names. The record is from RNAcentral.